GACUACGUGACGCAACGGUAGCGCGCCUGACUCCAGAUUAGAAGGUUGCGUGUUCGAAUCAGGUCGGGUUCA
RNAcentral lists this transfer RNA (72 nucleotides) under Dryococelus australis. RNAcentral describes it as "tRNA-OTHER". It matches the Rfam family "tRNA". From Rfam's summary of the family: Transfer RNA (tRNA) molecules are approximately 80 nucleotides in length. The record is from RNAcentral. Lineage: Eukaryota; Metazoa; Arthropoda; Insecta; Phasmatodea; Phasmatidae.